Erinaceus europaeus (western European hedgehog) is the source of this 163-nucleotide small nuclear RNA. Its record names the gene U1. It matches the Rfam family "U1 spliceosomal RNA". From Rfam's summary of the family: U1 is a small nuclear RNA (snRNA) component of the spliceosome (involved in pre-mRNA splicing). NCBI's taxonomy places the organism in Eukaryota, Metazoa, Chordata, Mammalia, Eulipotyphla, Erinaceidae. The record is from Ensembl.
AUACUUACCUGGCAGGGGAGAUACCAUGAUCACAAGGUGGUUUUACCAGGGUGAGUCUUAUCCAGUUCACUCCGGAUGUGCUGACCCCUGUGAUUUCUCCAAAUGUGGGAAACUCAACUGCAUAAUUUGUAGUAGUGGGGGACUGUGUUUGUGCUCUCCCCUG